CUUUCUUUGAUGGCGACCGGCGCACGGGUGAGUAACACGUAUCCAACCUGCCGAUGACUCGGGGAUAGCCUUUCGAAAGAAAGAUUAAUACCCGAUGGCAUAGUUCUUCCGCAUGGUAGAACUAUUAAAGGAUUUCGGUCAUCGAUGGGGAUGCGUUCCAUUAGGUUGUUGGCGGGGUAACGGCCCACCAAGCCUUCGAUGGAUAGGGGUUCUGAGAGGAAGGUCCCCCACAUUGGAACUGAGACACGGUCCAAACUCCUACGGGAGGCAGCAUG
This 275-nucleotide ribosomal RNA is filed under the name uncultured bacterium. Its description in RNAcentral is "partial 16S ribosomal RNA". It matches the Rfam family "Bacterial small subunit ribosomal RNA", at positions 79 to 353 of the family's 1533-position model. The record is from RNAcentral.